Molecule: transfer RNA, 73 nt
Filed under: Caerostris darwini
Lineage: Eukaryota; Metazoa; Arthropoda; Arachnida; Araneae; Araneidae
Description: tRNA-Pro
Rfam family: tRNA
About the family: Transfer RNA (tRNA) molecules are approximately 80 nucleotides in length. Their secondary structure includes four short double-helical elements and three loops (D, anti-codon, and T loops).
Source: RNAcentral
GGUUCGGUGGUCUAGGGGUAUGAUUCUCGCUUAGGGUGCGAGAGGUCCCGGGUUCAAAUAUCGGCCCGAACCC